Molecule: ribosomal RNA, 253 nt
Filed under: uncultured bacterium
Lineage: Bacteria
Description: partial 16S ribosomal RNA
Rfam family: Bacterial small subunit ribosomal RNA
Source: RNAcentral
CACGGGGGGAGCAAGCGUUGUUCGGAAUCACUGGGCGUAAAGGGCGUGUAGGCGGUUCGGUAAGUGGAAUGUGAAAUGCUCCGGCUCACCCGGAGUACUGCAUCCCAAACUGCCGAGCUUGAGUAUGGGAGAGGAUGAGGGAAUUCCUGGUGUAGCGGUGAAAUGCGUAGAUAUCAGGAGGAACACCGGUGGCGAAGGCGGCUUGCUGGGCCAGUUCUGACGCUGAGGAGCGAAAGCGUGGGGAGCGAACAGG